GGCCUAGUAUUGAAAAAAAUACUUAUGCACUUUGGGCUGCUGAGUGCUGGAGUGGGCUGGACUGCUGGAGUCGAAGCGACGAGGGCAUCGAGGAUCGAGCCAUCGAGCGACCAGCGCUGAAACGCGAUCGGGGAUCGAUCUCCUCCUCCAGUCCUCCUACUCGUCGAUGUCUCGGUCGACGGUCGCUACAGCCUACAGGAAAGGUCCUUUGAUCCAAGGUGUUCACUUCGCCUGUGUUGGAGUCCGAUCCCACGGUCCCUGUAUCCGAUCGAUCCAAGGUGUUCUGGAGUCUAAUCCCUCGGUCGAAGGUGUUCUAUCCUGGAGUCUGAUCCCUCGCCCCUCGUCCCUGGAUCGAGAUCACAGGGUGACUGGCCGCUGCAGGUGAAUACAAGGACCUCCACUCCUCCAGACUCAUAAACACAUCCCCUACAGGUAGAUUGAGCUCCGCCGCCGUAGAUCAGAGAUAUGGAAGUUAGAUUUGAUAUAGCUUUUGUUGCCUCAAGUAUUUCUGACGGUAAAUUUCGAAUAUCUCCCCAGAAUAUAUCGGAAAAUAUCCUAUGUUUUCUUUAAUUACUAGCAUACCGGCAUAUAUUUUGUAUGUGAUAUAUACUUCCUAGUGCUAUACCAUUGUAACAAGUAUAAAAACAGUUUGUCUUUUUUCCUAGACAUAGUUGUAUACAUCAUAUUAUGGUAUAUAUAUAGGCUCAUGAGCCUAGCAGUUUGCCUUUUAGUUUAUUAUUAUUCCAAUGUAAAAGACAUAAAUAUGAUUUAGCCUCUAAAUAUUAGUCUCUUACAUAUUUCUAGUGCUAUACUACAUCCAAAUAUUGCAAUGCCUUUUCUUGGACAGUGCACAUAACUAGAAUACUAGGCCCGUAAGGGUUCGAUUUACCUGAUAUUUUUGGAAUUUUUUUCACGGUAGCUGUAAAAAUUACGCGUGUGACCGAAGUGUUUCGUGCCCUUCGUUUGCCACGUUCUAUCCCACCGUGUGGACUUGGCGCGUGUGACCUUCUGGGCUUUACAUGUCCUACGCUGCGAUUUUUGUACUCCUAGAUACUUUUCUUGUCUCUCUCGAAGCCUCGAGCCCAAUCCCGUGACACCGCUACGCCGCACUUACCCAAUAUAAAAGGGCAUCAGACAGACUCUCGCCUCAUCUCUCUGUGCCCCCUCCCGCCGCAUCCCCAUCCCCUUCUCUUCUUCGCGGAUGCGCUCGCCCAUGCCGCCGGUGACCCUCACCAUCCAAGCCCUCCCCCACGUCGUUGUCAGACGUCGGAGGGAGUUGUGGCUUUGGCUAGGCUGAGGGUCGUUGCCGAGGCAUGGAGGCGCCUCAGUUGCCCAUCUCCCCGCCUCAGUGAUGGAGAGGUGCGAGAUGGAUGUGGGGAGGAGCGGGCAUGGUGCGGUGGACGGAGGAGGCGUUGGCAUGGCGGCAGCGGCGGGAGCGGUUGGAGGCAACCGCGGGCAUCCAGUCGUCAGUCGUCACGGCAGGGGGCGAUGUGGCUGCUCAAGGUCCGGUUCAUCAUGGAAGUCACGGAGGUAACCCAUAUCCGAGCAGUACUAGACUCCAAUCGCAUGACACGCUGCUUCCACCAGUGAUGUGCUGUGAGCUUCAUGGUUGGGUGUAGACUCCUGCUUAAAGUUUUCGAUCUACACAGUUUCCGGGAUGGAUGUGUUGUGUGACUAAUUUGUUUCUGAAAAUUCCAAGGUUUUCAUGUGGUUCCAGUAAAAAUUUGUUGAUUGAGAUAAGUUUGAUUGAUCUGAUGAUUUUGUUGUUUCUUACUGUCAGAAGAGGUUGAUCUCAUGUUGUUUAUUUUUUAGGAUAUGGGAUUUAUUUUGCAGGAAAGAAUUUUGCAGUGGGCAGAGCGUCCUUGCCUCAUUGGACAUGUUCCCUCUCAUGGCGAGCCUCAGUGGCCUGUGGCCGCCAGUGUACCCGCUCGGUGCCUGACGGUGCGAGGGCGGCCUUGUACACUGGCAGUGCCAUAAUUCAUGGACUUGAAAAACCUCGGACAGUGAAGAACAUGGCAUUCUUGAUAUAAUGGUUUCAAGCCUUUUGAUGGAAGCUCCUGUAUCUUCCUAGCAAGGCCGAUGGACUCUGGUGCAUGGUUUACUAGGUGAUAACUAAAACAAUCAUUCUUUGGCUGACAUUUGAAGUAAGAUUAAAAACAACCUACAGAACAAACUGGAGAGGGUACACAUCAGAUGGCUCCCUCUAAUGGAGAAUGAACUGAAGAUUAAUAUUGAUGGCGCUUUCCACCCUGAACCAAACACUGGUGGUUGGGGGAGAGGUAAAAGUAUGUGGAGCAGGGAGAUUGGAGAAUAUUAUUAAUCCCUUACAUGCCGAGAUCAGGCUGUUAUACGGGGCGCCUAGCUAGGAAUGGAUAAAGGAGUGAGAGUCAUUGGCCUUGAAAUAGAUUCAGAGCUGUUGAAGCAAGAGUUAAACAACGAUGAAUGUGGUCUCUGUGCUGUCUACCUAGGCUUAGAGGAGCUCAAGAAAUAUCUGAAGCAAAACUUUGAAGUGUGUCGUUUUACUUCUGCUAGGAGGAAUUGUAAUAAAGUAGGCCAUUGUUUCACUAGCUAUAGUAGUACCUUAAGCAUGUAUGAUCAUCUUCAACCAGAUCAUGUAAUUCCACUUGU
Triticum aestivum (bread wheat) is the source of this 2628-nucleotide long non-coding RNA. RefSeq lists it as uncharacterized. Lineage: Eukaryota; Viridiplantae; Streptophyta; Magnoliopsida; Poales; Poaceae. The record is from RefSeq and is a predicted model, not a curated record. The transcript has 5 exons.